This is a long non-coding RNA of Amphimedon queenslandica, 924 nucleotides long. RefSeq lists it as uncharacterized. The transcript has 6 exons. The record is from RefSeq and is a predicted model, not a curated record. NCBI's taxonomy places the organism in Eukaryota, Metazoa, Porifera, Demospongiae, Haplosclerida, Niphatidae.
GUACCCAAGAUUGAGGUUGAGACUCAUAAAGUAGGUUCUCCUGAUGUUGUGGUCCCUACUCUUGAUACAGUGAGGCAUGAGAGUCUCCUUUAUACAUGUUUGGUGGAGCAUAAGCUGAUGGUACUAAGUGGUCCACCUGGCUCUGGUAAAACCAUGACACUGUUCUCUGCUCUUCAUGCUCUACCUGAUUUUUAAGUUGUUGGUCUUAAUUUCUCCUCAGCGACUACUCCCGAGUUAUUAUUAAAGAUGUUUGAUCAUUACUGUGAGUACAAGAGGACUCCCAAUGGAGUCGUGAUGGCUCCUGCUCAACUUGGAAAGUGGCUGGUUCUUUUCUGUGACAAGAUUAACCUUCCAGACCUUGACAAAUAUGGUACACAGAGAGUAAUAUUGUUCUUACGUCAGAUUGUCGAGCACAGCAGAUUUUACAGGACCUCCAACCACACAUAGGUGACAAUAGAGAGGAUACAGUUUGUUGGAGCAUGUAACCCACUGACUGACCCAGGGAGGAAACCACUGUCACAGGAUUAUCUACCAGUAGAUCAGGAAGAAUUACGUGAUUAUGUACAGGCCAGAUUAGAGGUUUUUAAUGAGGAAGAGCUAGACGUUCUUCUUGUUCCCUUUAAUGAACUCCUUGAUCAUGUCCUUCGUAUUGACAGAAUCUUCAAACAGCAUCAGAUAGGGUCUCAGUGGAGCUGGUGGUAAGACCAUACUGUCUAGGUCUGUGGCUUGGAUCAACGGACUAUUUCAAAUAAAAGUUCAUAAUAAAUACACUCCUGAUGAUUUUAAUGAUGAUCUAUAUACAGUGCUAAGACAGUCUGGCUGUCGCAAUGAGAAGAUUGUAUUCAUAAUGGAUGAGUCUAAUGUCCUCAAUUUAGGAUUCUUGGAAAGAAUGAACAGACUACUAGCCAAUGGAGAGGUAAGAGA